Molecule: long non-coding RNA, 343 nt
Filed under: Vigna radiata
Lineage: Eukaryota; Viridiplantae; Streptophyta; Magnoliopsida; Fabales; Fabaceae
Description: long non-coding RNA (VRAD_LNC002104)
Source: RNAcentral
CACCAUAAAACUCAAGGAAUCCAAUUCAAAACAAGUCAUGAACAAUAAACCCAAACAUAUGCUACUUCAACCUAACCAAAUCUUCCAUUUCUUCAAUUUCCCUUGCAAAAACGAAAAUGAUAACCAAGCAAUCAAUUCCAUCUCUUUCCAGCCACAAUAACAACACCAAAAUCUAGUCCCAUCCUUGUUUCAAACAUCAAAACCGAAAAUCAAGAAGAAAGAGUCCAAACCACAACACCCACACAUCAACUUAAGCUCUUUUCAACCCAAAACUCACAUAGAACUCCAUUUUUAUCAUCCAACCAAUUAAAAUGAGAUGAAAACCGAGAGAAACAGUAGCAAA